Nicotiana attenuata is the source of this 378-nucleotide long non-coding RNA. RefSeq lists it as uncharacterized. NCBI's taxonomy places the organism in Eukaryota, Viridiplantae, Streptophyta, Magnoliopsida, Solanales, Solanaceae. The record is from RefSeq and is a predicted model, not a curated record. The transcript has 3 exons.
GACUAAAAUAACAUAUUCCCUCCAGUUUUUUCUGCCUAAGUUGGGAAAAUUUAGGAAAAUAUUUUAGAAAUAUACAAAUCUCCCAUCCACUAUAAUUCUCAUCAUUGCUGCCCUACCGCCGAACUUCUGUCUCACCGCAGCGUCACCAUCCCCAGGUCCGUGAUGCCAACAGUGGUCAUGAAUGAGUACCACAAACGCAACAGAAUCAUAGUAAUAGUGAAAAUACUCCAUCUUCUCACGAUGAAGAAGAGCAACAGUCAAAUGCUGGCUAUUAAUGAGGUAUGAUGAGGUUACAUAUAUCUAUAUUCGUAUAUUAAUUGAUUGUAAGUAUUAGAAAUGGGUGAUUAGUAAUUUAAUUAUUACAAAUUAUGGUGCCUA